AGCUAUGAUGAGGACUUUUUCACAGACCUGUACUGAUCUCCAUGAGUAUAAGUAAAAAAAAAA
RNAcentral lists this small nucleolar RNA (63 nucleotides) under Otolemur garnettii (small-eared galago). Its description in RNAcentral is "Small nucleolar RNA snR56 (ENSOGAG00000022692.2)". The record is from RNAcentral. Lineage: Eukaryota; Metazoa; Chordata; Mammalia; Primates; Galagidae.